UGGCUCUCGCAUCGAUGAAGAACGCAGCGAAAUGCGAUAAGUAAUGUGAAUUGCAGAAUUCAGUGAAUCAUCGAAUCUUUGAACGCACCUUGCGCUCCAUGGUAUUCCGUGGAGUAUGCCUGUUCGAGUGUCACGUCAACACUCACCCUCGCGAUUGCAAAAUUGCUUGUGGUGGACUUGGACCGUGCCGUAGUCGGCUCGUCCUGAAAUGCAUUAGCUUGCGCUUUUAGAGUGCUGGGCACCGGUGUGAUAAUUAUCUGCGCCAACGCCUUACGCCUCUUCAGCGGCGCUGCUUACAGUCGUCCCGACGGACAAUUCUAUACCAAGCUUUGGCCUCGAAUCAGGUAGGACUACCCGCUGA
Molecule: unclassified non-coding RNA, 361 nt
Filed under: uncultured fungus
Lineage: Eukaryota; Fungi
Description: partial contains 5.8S ribosomal RNA and internal transcribed spacer 2
Rfam family: 5.8S ribosomal RNA (bases 1-133)
Source: RNAcentral